GCCAGGCAUGGAGGCACAUGCCUGUAAUCCCAGCAACUCGGGAAGCUGAGUCAGGAGGAUUACAAGUUCAAAGUCAGCCUCAGCAAAUUUAGAAAGGUCCUAAGCAACUUAGUAAGACCCUUUCUCAA
This 128-nucleotide small RNA is filed under the name Marmota monax (woodchuck). The record is from RNAcentral. Lineage: Eukaryota; Metazoa; Chordata; Mammalia; Rodentia; Sciuridae.